This is a non-coding RNA of Acanthosepion pharaonis, 106 nucleotides long. The record is from the annotation of a GenBank genome assembly. Lineage: Eukaryota; Metazoa; Mollusca; Cephalopoda; Sepiida; Sepiidae.
GACAUCAUAUUGAAACACCCGUUCCCAUGUGAUCAACAAAAUUAAGCAACUAUGAGCUUGGUCAGUACCUAGAUGGGUGACCACUUGGGAAUACCAGGUGCUGUAA